UACGUAGGUGGCUAGCGUUAUCCGGAUUUACUGGGCGUAAAGAGUGCGUAGGCGGCCUUUCAAGUCAGGUGUAAAAUCUCUCGGCUUAACCGGGAGGGACCAUCUGAUACUGUUGGGCUAGAGUACAGCAGAGGGAAGCGGAAUUCCCGGUGUAGUGGUGGAAUGCGUAGAUAUCGGGAGGAACACCAGUGGCGAAAGCGGCUUUCUGGGCUGUUACUGACGCUGUUGCACGAAAGCGUGGGGAGCAAACAGG
This 253-nucleotide ribosomal RNA is filed under the name uncultured bacterium. RNAcentral describes it as "partial 16S ribosomal RNA". It matches the Rfam family "Bacterial small subunit ribosomal RNA", at positions 524 to 776 of the family's 1533-position model. The record is from RNAcentral.